RNAcentral lists this unclassified non-coding RNA (734 nucleotides) under Hevea brasiliensis (rubber tree). Lineage: Eukaryota; Viridiplantae; Streptophyta; Magnoliopsida; Malpighiales; Euphorbiaceae. The record is from RNAcentral.
CUCUAUAUAUAUAUGUGUGUGUGUGUCUGCGCGAUCACACAUUUCUUUGCACAUAUCAUAUGAGAAACACCAUUUUCUAUUUUUCUUUUUCUAUGUUUCAAGUAAAAGGAGAGAAUUCAAUCAUAAGUAUGGCAAGAGGUUGCCUUCAUGAACAAACUAGCUCAAGUGAGAUCAAAACUAAGUAGAAACACACAGAUCAAGAAAGUGGGUGAUUCAAUCAUUUCAAAUACUAAAAAUUGUCAAAGUAAGAUAUCCUGGUGGUCAGAUAGUCCUAUUAGCUAGGUUGAUGCUACAUUAAAUAUCAGCAUCCAAUGUGAAAGGGCCCAAAUGAAAAGAAAGAGAGAGCCUUUUCUGUGUAAGUUGCUUAUGUACAUGACUUCCAAACUCUUUGCUGACCUACAUGGUAAUUUUCAUUACCACUUUCAUGUUAAUAUCACAAUGAUGCUAAGUUCUGCACUCAUAGGAUUUGACAGAUGGUAGAACUUGCUAGUGGAAUUUUUGUUUACUCCAACAGUUUUGAGAAACUAAAAACAUUGACACCUCUUGACUCUUUCGAUUAACACGAGCCCUUCCUUUACAAGACUUUUAAUGAGAAAACUUUAUGUCUUUAGUGGUUAGAUUGGGUUCUAACUUCUUGGCAAGCACGCUUAUUCAGGCUUGUGGAUGGAGUUGGUGGUUUGUGUAAUUUGUCCUAGCUAUAGUGAUUCUUUUAGUCUUACACUGUUAUCCCUUUU